This 75-nucleotide transfer RNA is filed under the name Rubellimicrobium thermophilum DSM 16684. RNAcentral describes it as "tRNA-Thr". It matches the Rfam family "tRNA". Rfam says of the family: Transfer RNA (tRNA) molecules are approximately 80 nucleotides in length. Their secondary structure includes four short double-helical elements and three loops (D, anti-codon, and T loops). Further hydrogen bonds mediate the characteristic L-shaped molecular structure. tRNAs have two regions of fundamental functional importance: the anti-codon, which is responsible for specific mRNA codon recognition, and the 3' end, to which the tRNAs corresponding amino acid is attached (by aminoacyl-tRNA synthetases). tRNAs cope with the degeneracy of the genetic code in two manners: having more than one tRNA (with a specific anti-codon) for a particular amino acid; and 'wobble' base-pairing, i.e. permitting non-standard base-pairing at the 3rd anti-codon position. The record is from RNAcentral. Lineage: Bacteria; Pseudomonadati; Pseudomonadota; Alphaproteobacteria; Rhodobacterales; Roseobacteraceae.
GCUGCCGAAGCUCAGUGGUAGAGCACUCCCUUGGUAAGGGAGAGGUCGAGAGUUCAAUCCUCUCCGGCAGCACCA